GGGGGGGGGCGCAGUGGUUGGGGCCGGCGGCGGCCGCCGCGGCGGCGGGGUCAGUUCUCUUUAGUGUUUGCCGAUGUUGGAGGCGUCUCCAAAGUGUCCCCGGGAAGCAGUGACAGGCAAUGGCACAAGUUAAAAUGCAGACUACAGCAAACUUGUCUGGACCCACCAUGGCCCCUGUGGUGCUACCCCUGCCAGUUACAGCUACAAAUACACUGACCCUGCCAUCCUCAAUUAAUGGAUCCAUUUCAGAAUCGGCUGCCAGCUGUAGCAGUCCUACUGCCAGCCUUGUGGAUUCCGCAUCUUUGAUAAACUCACCAGCUCCUCUCCAAGAUAACAUGGCAAACCCCAAAGAGAAAACUCCAAUGUGUCUGGUAAAUGAGUUAGCCCGUUUCAAUAGAAUUCAACCCCAGUAUAAGCUUCUGAAUGAAAGAGGGCCUGCUCAUGCCAAGAUGUUCACAGUGCAGCUGACUCUUGGAGAACAGACAUGGGAAGCUGAAGGAAGCAGUAUUAAAAAGGCCCAACAUGCUGCUGCUAGCAAAGCAUUGAAUGAAACUACCCUUCCCAAACCAACGCCCAGACCACCCAAAAACAAUGUAAACAAUAAUCCAGGCAGUAUAACACCAACUGUGGAGCUGAAUGGUCUGGCGAUGAAAAGAGGAGAGCCUGCCAUCUACAGGCCAUUAGAUCCAAAGCCAAUUCCCAAUUACAGAGCAAAUUAUAAUUUCCGGGGCAUGUACAAUCAGAGGUAUCACUGCCCAGUGCCUAAAAUUUUCUAUGUCCAGUUAACUGUUGGCAACAGUGAGUUUUUUGGUGAAGGAAAGACUCGUCAAGCUGCUAGACAUAAUGCUGCAAUGAAGGCCCUUCAAGCUCUUCAGAAUGAGCCUAUUCCAGAAAAAUUACCUCAGAAUGGAGAAUCAGGAAAAGAUUCAGAAGAAGAUAAAGAUGCAAACAAAUCUGAGAUCAGCGUAGUGUUUGAAAUUGCUUUGAAGCGCAAUAUACCUGUCACUUUUGAGGUGAUUAAAGAAAGUGGACCUCCUCACAUGAAGAGCUUUGUUACACGAGUUACAGUAGGAGAAUUCACUGCAGAAGGAGAAGGCAACAGUAAGAAACUCUCAAAGAAACGUGCUGCAAUGGCUGUACUACAAGAACUUAAGAAACUUCCUCCUCUUCCUGUGAUUGAAAAGCCAAAACUUUACUUUAAAAAGCGUCCAAAAACAAUAUUGAAGACUGGACCAGAAUAUGGUCAAGGAAUGAAUCCCAUCAGUCGUUUGGCUCAGAUCCAACAGGCCAAAAAGGAGAAGGAGCCAGAGUAUGUUCUUCUUUCAGAGAGAGGAAUGCCUCGCCGUCGAGAAUUUGUUAUGCAGGUAAAAGUAGGCAACGACAUUACUACUGGAACAGGCCCAAACAAGAAAAUAGCUAAAAGAAAUGCAGCAGAAGCAAUGUUGCUACAGCUGGGAUACAAAGCCUCUACUCCUCUUCAAGACCAGACAGAAAAGCUUGGAGAAAACAAAAGUUGGAAUGGCCAAAAUGUUGGGUUUCCUGAGCCAACAAGUAAUACACCAAAGGGAAUACUCCAUCUCUCUCCUGACGUAUAUCAAGAGAUGGAAGCAAGCCGCAACAAAUCAGCCCCUGGUACCACUGUAAGCUAUAUGUCAUCCAAAGAAAUGAGCCAGACUUCUAGCUCUUUCUUCAGCAUAUCUCCUACCACAAAUAGCACAGCCACCAUUGCCAGGGAACUUCUCAUGAAUGGAACAUCCCCAACUGCUGAAGCCAUAGGUCUCAAAGGAAUAUCUCCUGCUUCUCCCUGUUCUACAGUGCAGCCUUCAAAACAGCUGGAAUAUUUGGCAAGGAUUCAAGGCUUUCAGGUAUGGGAGGGGGAAAAUGAAGCUCUUCAGCCAGAAUCGUAGCGUUGCCAUCAAGGUUUCACUCUUGCCCUCUUGAAUGUGGGCAUGCAUGUAACUUAUGUUGUAAAAUUAGCUGGUGUCUGAGGCAGUUUCUGGGUCCAGGAGAUACAGACUUCCACCUUACAUUUAUCUUACUGCAGCCCAUCUUUCUCUCCUAUGUCUCUUCUCCUUAACUAAUUGCAAGCUUAAAUUAUGCCUUCAACUUGUACUUCUUUGAGAGUCAUCACCUCUUGGUUUCUCCCUUUGACUGAUCCAGAAGCUACUGAUGCACCAUUUGUCUUCUAGGCCAGGUCAUUCAAGUAGUUUUUUUGCUUCCCACCCUUCACCUCUUAAAUGCAACCUGAUGUUUUGGUUUAGGAAUGGUACUAUCCAAUUUAGUGUCUCACUGACACUUUCCAAACCACUGCCACUCACUCACUCUCCCCUUCCCACUCCCACUACCCCUUGUGGUGGGCUGGAGAAGAGAACUGGAAACAAAAAAGGUAAAUGUCAUGGGUUGUGAUAAGAACAAUUUACUAGAAACAGCAAUGGGAUAAGAAAACAAACAGUAACAGCAACAAUGCUAAUGACAGUGGGUAGAAGAAAUGAACAAUUCCCAUGGAAGCCCCCUGAGAACAGCCAAUACCUGACCACACCCUCUGCCACGCUCACUCAACUGGAAGAGACUCCCUCCCCCAGACAUGGCAAUGACAUGAGGUGGUAUAGAAUAAUGUCCAGGUCCUGGCCAUGGCCCCUCCUGGCAACUGCAAAAAUUAACCCUGUCCUGGCCAGAACCAGGAACAUUAUUCACCCCUUGUUCUACACCAUCCUGCAUGCCCAGAUCCUACAUAUUCCAACUCAUAUAUAUAUAUAUAUAUAUACAAGGUGAGGUAUCAUUUCCCUAGUCAAUGGUUGUUCCUUCAAGAUAUCUGUUAAGUUCAUUCAGUCAAUGACUGUGGAUUCUACCCAUCAUAGGUGUCUGCCAGGGCAGGAGGGCUGGUGUGCUGUCAGCUGGUUGCAGGCUGCAUCACGAGUUCACUACUGGUGCAUCUGGAGCAGUCCAUACUCAUUGUCCAUCACAGUUAUGGCCUACAGUAUCAUUCAGCAACCAAUGUUACACAAUUCAACAGCACAGACUGUUCUCACCCAAAAAUCUAAACCCCUGGAGGCAGUUCAUGGUGACUUCCAAGAUCCCUGAGCUUUUGGGGUUUCCUAUUCAAACUCACUGUAUGAUCAGUACAGUUCCCUCACUGUGUAGCAUUAGUGGCAUGACAUGUGGAAGAAACUUUCUCUUGAAACAUGCAACCCAGCACUGCCAGUCAAGGUGCCAGAAGAAGCUGUGCUUCAGUGCCAAUCACUUCUGAAGCAGCUUGAACCCCUUAACGAGAUGCCAGUAUCCCUUUUUCAGUUGUUGUGUAGCAGGGCUUGGAUCCUUUGUAUCCCCAACUCCAGAAUCCCAGGAGUCAUCCUCCAGUGUCCCCUGGUACUUUUUGGCAGAGACUCCAGGAAGGACCAUUCUCCCCAGCUGCAGUAUAGAGAACAGUUUUCACAUCUUGUCCUGUCCUGACUGACCCAAGAGCUACUGCGUGAACAAUCUCUUCCUUAAUUUGUUCAGAAGCUUGUUUUUCAGGACCCCGCUUAAAAUAAUUCAUCUUCUGCAUCAUAAGAUAUAGAGGGUUUUCAAUCUGAUUGAGCUCUGCAAUAUGCAUUCUCCAAAAGACCACAGCUCCUAGGAAAUCCUGUAUUUCCUUCUUGCUGGUUGCUGGGGACAUAAGAUACUUUUUUGUUGACCAUGGCCAUUAGAAUCUGAUGACAUUCUUAAAGCCUGGAUUUCCUGGCAGGUCCCUUGACCUUACUUUGCUUUAAGGCAAAACCAGCCUUCAGGAGGAUUUGGAUUAUCUCCUCCCCUUUCUCAAAAACUUCCUCUGCUUGGUUGCCCCACAUAAUGAUGUCAUCAACAUAUUGCAAGUGUUAUGAAGCCUCAGUCUCUUCCAGUGCAGUCUGGAUCAUUCCAUGGCAAAUGGUGGGAAUGUGCUUCCACCCCUGGGCAGUUGGUUCCAGGUGUUUUGCAUGUCAGUUUGUGGAAAUACCCACUCCUGAGGUAGUCUGUGCCAAGGAUGCACAAGGCCUCUGGCCCAUCACAAUGGGGUGGUUUUGCCAUUCAUUCCUGUAAGACCCCAGAAUUCACUCAACAAGUCUUUUAAAAGGGCUUGCAGGUUUUUUAUGUACCCCAAAUUAGAUGCAAGGGAGCAAUACCAACAAGGUAUUCCCAAGAGAUGAAAACAACAAAAACUUUACUGGCAAAUUUCAGAAAAUACAUGAACUUGUGCAAAAGUUUAGAGCAACAUUCAAUCAACAUAAAACGUUUUGCUAAGCCUUAACCUAGCAAACUCUCAGCCUGAUCAACUUAGCAAACUCCAACCAAUCUAAGUUACUCAAACUUUGAGAAGAAGGCAUUAUAAGAAGGAGAGGAAAGAGAAAGAGAGAAAAGAUGCAGAAAAGAAUGAAUAUAGCUACCACUGCUGGCUUCCAGUGGUCUUCCAGCUGAUAUAAAAUCCAAGGGAAGGUAGGGUCAAGACAUGCUUGCCUGGUGUCCUGGCUUAAGUACCUUUUGGGUCUCCUGGGCCCUUCGUCCAGGAGAGACUUCUGGUUUGGCAGCCACUCAGGAGCUGGGUUAGGGCUUCAGAGAUGGGAUGAGGAGCACUGCCUCCAGUGUGCCUGUGAUUAGCAGUCACUAUGGGGCUGGGAUACAGGCUUUAGAGGAUGGGGCGUGUGGAACAGGACAUUGCCUCACCAGGGCAAGGCCCAACCUGCCCCUUUGCCCACAUACAUCCCCAAAAUGUUUUGAGCAAGCAAUCUCCUCCAGUCUCUCACAAUACCCAGUCAGGUUCAGUACAUCUCCCAGUACAGGCAGCUCUUGGGAUCCCCUGUCACCCCAGAAACAGAGAUGGGUUCUGCCCCUACGUAUCUUGGUAGCAUGAGGGUACAUGGUGCACUGAUGUCAAGUAAAGCCUUAAACUCCUGUGGGUCUGGUGUGCCAAACCAUCAGAUCCACACAAUCCAAGAGUUCUAAUUAUCCCUUUCCUCCACCUUGCUAGAGGCAGGACCCCUCCAAUUGUGGUCAUGGUAUUUGUUGCUCACAAAUUUGAACUGAAGGUACUUCAAGUGGAUUCAAGCAACAUCAACCCUCCUGUUCUGUCUGAGGAUUUGUCCACUGGAAACUGGAGUGGCAUUUAAUCCUUGAAGGAUUUUCUGCAAUGGUUGUUCUUUCUCUCAACUCAUGUAGCCAUGCUGCUAGCGCACAGGUGGGUUUUCCAUUCCUCUUCCUCAUACCCUUCCCGUGGUCAUGCAAGUAAAACCACAGGUUACUUUGUGGUGUGCACCCUCUCUCUCAAGCAGGGGGCCCUUGCUACCAAUAGCAGGGACUCUGGUCUACACUGGCGGGCCAUGGGACAUGUCCUCUAGCUUGUUCAAGUCUUUCAGAUCAUUCUGCCAUUUUGGACAGUCUUGCCACAGCUGAGGUGCAGGUUGAUAGGGAGGCAAAAACAUGAUCUUCAUAUUGCCAGAGUCAGGUAGUCACCUGAAGCACUGUUUGUUCUCCUUUCAUUGCCAUUAAUGUCAAUGGCAUAUGAUGGUGGCCCUGCUCUGCACAAACUUCCACCACGUGGACUGUGUACACAGGACCUCAUCUGGAGCUACUGAGAACUGCUCUUUAUUUGAAUCUCUGUACAGUACCUCUGGCACAGCUAAUGCUCUCAGGUACUGGAUACAUUUCUCCAUGGCAUUCCACCUGCUUGGACACACUAUUAGAUCAUCCUUGAGAGAAUGCCCUUCCCUCUGCUUGACAGGAGUCACUUCCAGAGGCUGAGAGUUUCUGUCCUCUUCCCAAUCCCUUUGUCAAUACCAGCAUCCUGUGACAGGGAUUCCAAUUGCUUUAUUACCACCUAGUUUUGUACUGCGGGACAAAUGUUGGGACUAUGAUGUCCCAACAUAGGAGCAGCCAGGUCACCAGGGGCUCUCCUGGCUGGUGGCUGAUGUAUUUUUGUCACCUGGUGUAGUGGUCAGAUGCCAAGCACCCACCAAAGCCACUCUCCUUUACAGCUGGAUGGGGGAGAGAAAAUAUAAUGAAGGGCCCAUGGGUUGAGGUACACUACAGUGAUAGACAAAAUGGCAAAGAGUGUUUGACCUGUUUGACACUGUCUCCUGUGCAGAUGACUUUCCAAGGUAUCGGAAGCUCCAUUGAAGCCAGCCAUGACCAG
This is an RNA transcript of Passer domesticus (house sparrow), 6142 nucleotides long. It is a transcript of the gene named staufen double-stranded RNA binding protein 2, with no coding region annotated. Lineage: Eukaryota; Metazoa; Chordata; Aves; Passeriformes; Passeridae. The transcript is spliced from 13 exons. The record is from RefSeq and is a predicted model, not a curated record.